Molecule: ribosomal RNA, 433 nt
Filed under: uncultured bacterium
Lineage: Bacteria
Description: bacterial SSU rRNA
Rfam family: Bacterial small subunit ribosomal RNA
Source: RNAcentral
AUUGAACGCUGGCGGCAUGCCUUACACAUGCAAGUCGAACGGUAGAGGGCUUCGGCCCUUGAGAGUGGCGAACGGGUGAGUAAAGCAUCGGAACGUACCCUGUCGAGGGGGAUAACGUAGCGAAAGUUACGCUAAUACCGCAUAAGACCUGAGGGUGAAAGUGGGGGACUGGAAACGGCCUCACGCGAUGGGAGCGGCCGAUGUCGGAUUAGCUAGUUGGUGGGGUAAAGGCCUACCAAGGCGACGAUCCGUAGCGGGUCUGAGAGGAUGAUCCGCCACACUGGGACUGAGACACGGCCCAGACUCCUACGGGAGGCAGCAGUGGGGAAUUUUGGACAAUGGGCGCAAGCCUGAUCCAGCCAUGCCGCGUGGGUGAAGAAGGCCUUGGUUGUAAGACCUUCGCGGAGGAAACGUAGACGGGCGAACGAGUACU